This is a non-coding RNA of Callithrix jacchus (white-tufted-ear marmoset), 3307 nucleotides long. The record is from RefSeq and is a predicted model, not a curated record. Lineage: Eukaryota; Metazoa; Chordata; Mammalia; Primates; Cebidae.
UUCGACAACACUGAAGUGAAUAUCCAGGUCUUAGGGCUGUGGCAGAAUUCAGAUCUGCUGAGGUGGCAAUUCAGGUGUCAGCGAAAGGACCACCAAAGAGACCAUUACUGAGACUAGGAGUCCCUGAAAGUGCAGCAGACAAAAAAGAGAAGUUCAAGGCAAGCAGGGAGAAGGCGGAGAUGCAAAAGACACCAGUCCUUAAGGUGGGGAGCCCACUUCCGGGACGUGAGGGCCCCCUUCCGGGUGAGGGCCCAGGUGAGUCAAGGGCGGGCAGAAGUGGGCGUGGGGGUAGCGGGCGGAGCGUCCUCCCCGCGACGCAGCUGAGUCCCUUCCGGCUCCCUCGGGGUUCGCUUCGAGAGUUGACGGUGCGCCUCCCAGCGGACUCUUUCCCUCGGAACGGAACAGCGUUUUUCCUCCCAGGGAAAGGAAAAAGGAGCGGCUUUCCGUUGCGUUGGAAGGACAACAGAUCCUGCACGGUCCUUAAUUUCUUAUUUAUGACUUAUUCCGCUCCUUCCAGUCCUCUACAAUUAAGAAAGAAAAAAAGAAAACCAACGUUGACCCCGACGUGACUUGAACACGCAACCUUCUGAUCUGGAGUCAGACGCGCUACCAUUGCGCCACGAGGUCACAGCGAACCGGCGACUCCGCGUCACUAAAGACCUCGCUUCCCCAGCAAGGUCCUCGGGCUGGGAGACUCCAGAGGGAAGACGCCCUCUUUCCUGAAUUCCAGCAUUAACUUAGAGCGCUGGCGAGGGUCGUUUCCCGGGUGUGGGAACGCGGAUGCGCUGGGGCACCCGGCCUGAACUGGGGCGCCGCAGCGGAGCCGCCACCCGGCGGCCGAACCUCGGGCUCCGCCUCCUCCGCGUCUGGGAGUGAGCCGGCGAGGGGACGCCGGGGGCUUGAUGUCUUAAAGAAAAGGAAAGAUCUGGCCUGAGCAGUGGCUCAUGGCUUUAAUCCCAGCUACUCUGGAGGCUGAGGCAGGGAGUUGCUUGAACCCCGAAGGCUGAGGUCACGGUGAGCUGAGAUUGCACCAUGGCAUGCCAGCGUGGGCAAGAAGAGUGAAACUCUGCCGCAAAAGAGAGAAGAUUUACACACUCCUGAUCUGACAAAUUCCAACUAGAACUUGAAAACUGAACCCUGAAGGGAAAAGGCAUGCUGCCACAUGGAGUGGGUUAUCACUACCACCCCACUGAAGGCUUGAGGGACAGCCUUGCUUGAGGCUGCUUUCUCUGGAAGAAGUAUCUGUUGAGACAGUGAUUUCGGGAGUAACACUUGUGAAGGGAAAUGGGAGUCAGCCAGGUUGGCAGGGAGACCCGUUAGGCCAAGGUGCAGAUGUACAAACUAUCUCUAAAUGCCUCUACUCUCUGCCUGCCUGUGGGGAGUUCUGUUAGAGGAAUCCCAAGUCCCAUGGAAAUGGCUUGCCCCGUGCCACCACAUUGCUCAGUCACAGGCCAGGGCCAGGGCCACUCCUGCAGGAAAGCUGUGGUGGGCAAAGGCCAGCUGCAGGCUGUCUGCUAACUGCCCUUCUACGGCUGGACAGCAAGUUCUCCCCUGGAAGAGGACCUGAGGGCCACAGCUGGGCUCUGCCAUGGCAUGCAAUAUACAUUACAUUUGCAGAUUUUUCCCUCUGCUUUUUUUUUUUUUUUUUUUUUUUGAGACGGAGUUUCGCUCUUGUUACCCAGGCUGGAGUGCAAUGGCGCGAUCUCGGCUCACCGCAACCUCCGCCUCCUCAGUUCAGGCAAUUCUCCUGCCUCAGCCUCCUGAGCAGCUGAGAUUACAGGCACGCGCCACCAUGCCCGGCUAAUUUUUUGUAUUUUUAGUAGAGACGGGGUUUCACCGUGUUGACCAGGAUGGUCUCGAUCUCUUGACCUCGUGAUCCACCUGCCUCGGCCUCCCAAAGUGCUGGGAUUACAGGCUUGAGCCACCGCGCCCGGCCUCCCUCUUUGUUUUUUAACCAUCUUUGAUGUCCUACUUCAAGCACCAAUCCCAGUUAUGAGUGCCCAACUGACAGAGGACUCCAGAUUCCUGGGAGUGAAGUUUCUGGAUCAUCUUCUCCAGCUCUCCUGCUCCCUGCUAACAGGGAAUUUAGCCCAAAGGAAAGAAAGGAACUCGUUUUCCAUUCUUCUAAAUCCCAACACCAGCUAAUUAUGUCACUCUUCAGGAAAGAUCCGUUGAAACUGGUGGCAUGCCUUCAGUUUCCAUCAGAAAUCCUGACUGUGAGUCAGUGUGGCCUCAUUCGGAGCCCCAGACAGAGGGCAGCCUCCACCAGGCUGCAGCCACCUGACUAAAAAGGCCAGUCUGAAGGCCGUGAUGGGGAGAUGCAGGAAGAGCGAAGUGGAAUCUGGCUGCUACAUGGGGGUAAAAAUGCAGAUUCAGUGAGUUUGUGAAUAUUGGGCAUUUAGAUUUUCAUGAUGAUUUUGUUUGAUGCCAGGUUUUCAUUCAUUUCAUGUGUUAUGCCUCAAAGCCCUCAAAUGGGAAAGAAACCCUCUCUUAAAAUGGAAAAUCCAAAAUGAUCACAAGUGGAAACAGUUGCCUUGUCUUCUGUCUCUGUCUGUCCCCCUUUUAAGGCUUCUGUGACCUAUUCAGCUUUGGUUUUUCUGAGGACGUGAUUCAGUUUAAACAUGUGUAAAUGUGGCUGAACAGUCAGGGCCUAAACUCUUUCAGUGGCCUGUCUGAUGAGUGCCAUGUGUGUUCCGUGGUCCAAAGACACUGGAGUGAUUUGGAUGCCUGUGGACCCAGAGAAAGGGAAUGCUGGGAGUGGAAAGUACUGUGUCUGCUGGGGUAAUAGCUUGUGAAUGCAACUGCAAGGGGUGAGGGUUCUGUCCAGCCAGGCCCUAUUUGACAAUAAAUGUGACUUUUUCCAUUUAUCUUUGCCCCCAUGACAAUUUUGGCUGAACUUGUCUUUGGAGAUGAUUUUCAGCCUAGAGACCUGCACUCAAGACUUUAUUAAACCCCAAACCCACACUUCUUUAAUGCUCACAAAAUGCAGCUGAUGGUGAGUGUGGCUUAUUAGUGAGGGCUGUGUACAGAGAGAGAGGUUCAGUGGCCGACAGAGCUCUGUGAUUCUUCAACAUUGAUUAAUAUGAUGCUGUCUUUUUUGGACCACCACAGCUGUCUUCCAACCUGAUAUAUGAUAUUAAUUGUAAAAGAGAGAGCUUUGUCCUAAUUGGGAUGUUAUUUUGUUUUAUUUUGAGACAGAGUCUCACUUUGUCACCCAGGCUGGAGUGCAGUGGCUCAAUCUCAGCUCACUGCAACCUCUGCCUCCCCGGUUCAAGUGAUUCUUAUGCCUCGGCCUUCUCAGUUGCUG